This 2414-nucleotide long non-coding RNA is filed under the name Homo sapiens (human). RNAcentral describes it as "HSALNT0136982". Lineage: Eukaryota; Metazoa; Chordata; Mammalia; Primates; Hominidae. The record is from RNAcentral.
CAGAAACAAAAAGCUCUUCUGGUUCCCUGUCUUCCUCAGCCCCCAUCCAAUCUGCCAGCUAGUUCCUAUCUUUAAGAUCUAGCUGCCUCCAAACCUCCCCAAAUGCAUCUUCUUCUGCGUCUUCACCAUCAGCAGCAUCUCCUGCCUGGACAACGGAGGGACCCUGACUGCUCCAUCUGCAUCCACCCUGCCCCCAACCCCCAUUACCACACAGAAGCCAAGCUUUUCCAAGGAUAUCUUCCUUGCUGGGCUUCCAAUUCUUGGACACACAACUGUAAGGAACUGCCCAAAUCUCAUCCUUAGCGAAGAUCAAACAAGAAUUAAACAAGCAAGUGAUAAACAUCGUAUUGACUUAACCUAACCACAUCAGGUUAAUUCUAAAGGGCAUCUUCUACUGGCUGGUGACGUGGUCUAAUGGAGUGAGUUGAAAUUUCAUCAUAUGCUCAUUGGACAAGCGGGACUCAUAUGCCCAAGCGUUGUUAAUAAAUAAUCUAGAAUUGCCGGACAACUAGGAGAAGCCAAUCUCCAGCAGGACUUAGGAGCAGUAGGGCACACAGUGGCCAUAUCUUGAUUGACACUCUCUUCAAAGGUCUACUAAUCCUAAGAUCUAUGUGAAUUGUUUUAUGACACAAGCAAUGAAAUCAAUGACAUUGCCACAACUUAACGGAAAAAAAAUGGAGUCCCACAGACUCUCCAGGUUCUUUUCCUCAGAGGAAAUUGAUUUGAGUGUCCUUUAGUCAAUGUCUAAAAGCACUGAGGUUCCUAUAACAGAUGAAGCCGCAGCGGUGCAGGCGACAAAUGAAAGGCCCAGGAAGCAUAAACUUUUUACUUAAAAAGCCAACCGGGCUUAACAACAAACAAUCCAUCUCUCCCAAUGAGAAGCUGAGAAAGAUAAGAGUUCUGCUUCAGCUACACCCGUGCACGGACCUGGGAGUAAAAGUUUUCCAUCUUAAAUGCCAAGGACAGGUGUAAACAGAAGCUCAGCGCUUCCUGGGAGGCGGCUUACAAAGAAGAACUAAUCAGAAGCCUUUCAUCUCUGACCCUUUACCUCCAGGUCUAUUCCGGGGCAUGGAGGUGAUGGGGCUGCUGUCCUUUGCGCCCAAGGAAGCGACAGGCAGCCUGCUGAUCAAUAGCUCCUCUGGUAAUGUCUUCAGAACUUAGAAGAGGGCCAGGGAGCAAAGCAGAAAUCAAUACUCGGGUCUAGGGGGAAGGAGGUUAUCGUUGUAUUAAUUUCAUUUCUAGAAAAGAGAGAAAACAACAAAAGCAAACUGACCCCCUUUGUACUCUUUGAGAAAUGAAUGUGCUUUCUGAGGAAGCAUGGAGCUGAGUCUCGGAUUUUAGUCAACCUCAUGCCCAAGGAUUAGGGGACAGGAGAUGAGUGAAGGAUUAAGAAAACAUGGACACUUCAUCUUGAACAAAUCCACCUUUUAAGUUAGGAGGUGAUGAACAAGCAUAUGCAAUCAAAGACAAAAGAAAACAAAAAGCCUCAAAAAUGAUCCUGCCCUCACUUUGCCCUGCUGGUGUCUGAUGGCUCUCUGGCCCCGGCCUCCUCACCACCUCUGGGACAUGGGCCUUUGUGUUCUCUAGCUCAUCACUUCCAUGGGGACCAGCAACUCCUCCCUGAUUCUUUAUGAGAACCUCACUCACGCACCACACCAACUGUGGACAGGACACAGGGGCAUGGACACAGUUCCCUCUGGAAUGGCUAUGCUGCCAUUUGACAAGACCAGCAAUGGCAAGCAUCCAAUUCAUCCAGAUACAUCUCAAGAGCCUUUUUCAAAUCUCAUCACUGCAUAGAAGCACAGGACACGUCCUUUACCAGCUCCUAUAUAAGCACAAGCUUUUGUUUUGUUGCACAGAAAAGACCUGCCAAAGAUACAGCUUGGGCAGAAUAUCUCCUUCUGUUCUCAGCAAGAUUAUUCAACUCUCAGAAGCUAAGGUUGGCUUCAGAGCCUGAACUUCCCCUCUACCAAAUGGGCCCCCUUAACACAUAGGAAUUCUAGAAUGAUUCUUUUUCUAGGAAGUAUGUGUCUUUUUCUAAGUAGCAGACUAGAAUUCAGAUUUAGCCCAAUUUGUUCUAAUCUUCAGUGUUGUCCAGAGGUGACUACAUCUGAAGUUAAUGAAAUUCAGCACCCCCACUUGCAUAGGCCCCUUCCAAGACGCUGGGAAGGAUAUGAGUAUUGUGUUCAACGUUUUUUGUCUUUUUAGUUCUGUUUUGUUUUGUUUUGUUUUGUUUUUGUGAGAUGGUGUCUCCCUUUGUUGCCUGCGCUGGAGUACAAUGGCGUGAUCUUGGCUCACUGCAACUCCACCUCUUGGGUUCCAGUGAUUCUCCUGCCUCACCCCCCCAAGUGGCUGGGAUUACAGGCACUUACCACCAUGCUGGGCUAGUUUUUUGUAUUUUUUGUAGAGAUGGG